GUCAGAAAUCAAUUACGACGCCCCUGAUAUAACUCCUUGAUGAUGUGUGUCAUAUGGAAUCUUGCUUCGGUUCGUUUAGAGAUAGUGUUAGUUCUGGUAGAAGAUAUGUGCACGGUUUACACCUAAUACACCAUAGGCUAAGAAACCAUUUUAGACGCACCCGAUGGUACUCGUAGUUGAAGAGGCUCAAGUGGAGGCUCGAUUUGGUC
This 209-nucleotide long non-coding RNA is filed under the name Sorghum bicolor (sorghum). RNAcentral's name for it is "long non-coding RNA (SBIC_LNC002913)". The record is from RNAcentral. Lineage: Eukaryota; Viridiplantae; Streptophyta; Magnoliopsida; Poales; Poaceae.